UCUGUUGUUCCGUAGUGUUCUC
RNAcentral lists this microRNA (22 nucleotides) under Gallid alphaherpesvirus 2. RNAcentral describes it as "mdv1-miR-M6-5p". Its record names the gene mdv1-miR-M6-5p. Lineage: Duplodnaviria; Heunggongvirae; Peploviricota; Herviviricetes; Herpesvirales; Orthoherpesviridae. The record is from miRBase by way of RNAcentral.